GCAUCAUGGAUCAGGUAAUGCAGUUCGUUGAGCCAAGUCGGCAGUUUGUGAAGGACUCGAUUCGGCUAGUUAAAAGAUGCACUAAACCUGAUAGAAAAGAAUUCCAGAAGAUUGCCAUGGCAACAGCAAUAGGAUUUGCUAUAAUGGGAUUCAUUGGCUUUUUUGUGAAAUUGAUCCAUAUCCCUAUUAAUAACAUCAUUGUUGGCGGCUGAAUACCUUUUUAGAAGUUUUUUUCAUCUUGGACAUUGGUGAAUAAGUGAGGAUUUGAGAAGCUCAUGGAGUAAAAAUUUGCCUAUAUGUUUUGUGUUUUUCUUUCAUUUUUUGUCUUCCAAGGUGUUUUGUAUUUGUAAAUUACAACAGUUUCAAAAUAAAGUUAUCUUUUUCCAUCAUAGAUAUCAAAUUUGAUAGGCAAGAAUGGGUUAUUUUCCCUCCUUCCGUUCUUACUCUCCUUUCUUCUGUUCUUCAUAUUUUGCUUUAUAGGAGAAAUUAAAAUGAAAUACUGCACUUUCUGAGUGCACCUCUCUUGGAUAAACAUUUUCCUGUCAUGGAAGAAGAAGCAGAGAAAGUAAAGGAUGGUAAAGAUUUUAAGCAAUCUCUACACCCAGUGUGGGACUUAGAACCCAAGAUCAAGUCACAUGUUCUACUGAUUGAGCCAGCCAGGUGCCCCCAAAAGUUGCUAAUGGUUUUGUGUUGCUUAAAUACCUAUACCAAAAUAAAAGAAUGCUCUUUUUAUGGUAGUUCUGCCAUUUCCAUGAACCCCUAUCCCUUAGAGCAAGUGCUUGGCCACCUAGUCCACUAGACUAACCUCUAAUCACAAAAAGUAACAGAAAAAUGCACAUCGAGGAAGGAGACAGCAAUAGUCCAGACAGCAUGGCAGCCCCCUGUCGGAAAUGUAGGAAAUAAAGCCUGGUUCCAAUUCCAGUUACUUUGUUACUGCUUAAAAACGGUGUUUUACUCCAAAAUCUGCCCUUGGGCCAUUUGUCUCUCAUUUCUUAGGAAGGUUCUACUUGGAAUGAAUGGUAUUUAAUUUAACCUGAGUGCAGGAGGCACCACUGUGUUCUGUGUUUGAAGGAGCACCUUAUGUCAGAAAGUUUAAAUGAGCUUAAAAUGAGCUGAAUUCUACCUCUUAUGUUACACACUGGUCAUAAUUUUGCUAGAGAAGGUCUUUAGGGUAGAUUUCAAGAUUGUUUGGAUGCAGUUGUCCCAUUUUCUGAGGCUUAUCCUACCUACACCAUUCUCAUCCCAUAGCCACUCUUACAGUCCUGCUUUUGCCUGUCUCCCUCGUGCUUUUUCGUCUCCUAAUCAGUCUUGCUUAUAGUGUGGUUUGUGGGCUCUGGGAUGUCUUGCUAUCAUGAAAUGGCUCAUUGAAAUAGGACAUCAGUCAAUUCACUAAUUACAUGUAUCUGCAUUCUGCCAAACACUUGUCGAAUUUCUAAAUGAAUAUUAUUACAAGUGUUGACGGACUAGUAGAGGUUGGAGCCCAUGCUUUAUAGGAUUAAUGAUACAUAAGGCCUUAAGUUUUCAAACUAUUCCUUCUCAGUUGAUCCUCGCAAUAACCCUGUGACAAGUAACGUAGAUACUGUAUUCUCCAAAAUAAUGUCUACAGUUUGCUGCUUAGCCCUGCACUGCCGCACCAUUGCACCUGGGUAUUUUCCCUUUGUUGUUGGCCCCACUAACAUAGAAGUUCCAGGGGAGAGACAUGUUGUCUAAUUUAUUGCCAAAUCCCAAGUGCCUAGGGCAGUGUCUGCAUGCAGUAGCCACUGCUUCCUAAAUGAAGGAAGCAGGUGUUAGGGACAUUGCAGAUUUAACAGUUUCUUGUUUGUAAGGGCAGCACAGAACAUGGCAGUUUAGAUCACUGGGCCUAGUACCGUGCCCGAAGCAAAUCCUUAACUUUCCUGGGUCAGAGCAACCUAGAAUCAGAAAAUUAAUAUACACAUAUGUGUUGUAUGUGUGUGUGACUGGUUUUUGAUAAAAGAACACAUACAUAUAUGUGUGUGUACAUUACUUUUCUUUACAUAUCUGCCUGCACCAUGUCUUAAACUGCAUACUCCUUAGCUCUCAACUUAGAACGUAGCAGUUCUGGGUUUUUACCCUUCUUCUGUGCUUUCUUUCCCCUCCCUGCCAAUGGUCUAUAUAGAAAAUCAUUUCCUUCUCCAUUAAUGAUUUAGGAUUCCCUCCUGUAUCUCCAUAUGGCAAUGUAAUUUAUGUUUUUUUUUUUUUAAUGUGAUUACUUUUAGUAUCAGUACAAUUUGUAAGGUUCAUUCCCUGCUUCAAGAGCCACACAGGACAUUCGGGGGCCACCUGCAGUCUUGACUGCGGACGAGCCGGCCUUGAAAGACAGGACUUACACUUGGAGCAGAUGAUUCUAAAAUUGACCAGGGUAGCACUCUCUUUUCUAGAAUGUUUUCAAGGCCUUGUGAACCAAACAAAACAAAAACCUAGACUGGAGGACUAGGAAAACUAGCCAGUUUUUUCGACGCUUCUGGCAUUAUUCUAAGGGCAUAAAAGGCCCUGCCCUUCCCCUAUAGAUGUGGAAGGGCUUUGAAGGCUAGACUGUGUAGACAUGACUGAUUAUUUCUAUGUGUUUUUGGGAGGUCAGGAGGGCAGAACCAAGGGAAAAUAUGUCAGGGCACUUGUUGCAGUAAGUCACAAUAAAGUGAGGCAGUAACGAAGCAAGCUCAUCGCCCUCUCAGGGAAGAACGUGGUCGCACCGACAGUGUGUAGGGCACAUGCAUCGAACGUGUCGCCUUAGCUGAAGUUUCGUGACCUGUUGGAACUGCAGUCUCCUGAUCUUCAGAAUGGGGAUGUUAAUGCCCAGCUUUCAGUGUGCAAUUCCCUUUGGUCAGAAAAUACAGGUGAAUGAAGUGGGCACAGUGCCUGGAACAUUGGUAUUUCAAUGCUAAAUCUUGUGUUUUCUCUGAUCCUUCCCGCUCCUCAGAGGCAGGGUUCGCUGAAGCUCUAUUUGGCUGGCCUUCCUCCAUUGGUACAGGCUGGAGUUUGGGUUAUCUCUGUACAGCUAUGUCUGUUGUCCUGAUAGCUUGCCCACAGUCAUGCUAAAAUAAUUUCUCACAUCGUCUGUUUCCUAACCCAAAGUGCAAGCCACUCACAUUUACCAAAGGCCUGGGGGAAUUUAGGUUGAAUUCA
RNAcentral lists this long non-coding RNA (3144 nucleotides) under Ailuropoda melanoleuca (giant panda). RNAcentral describes it as "lncRNA (ENSAMEG00000027108.1)". The record is from RNAcentral. Lineage: Eukaryota; Metazoa; Chordata; Mammalia; Carnivora; Ursidae.